Molecule: ribosomal RNA, 253 nt
Filed under: uncultured bacterium
Lineage: Bacteria
Description: partial 16S ribosomal RNA
Rfam family: Bacterial small subunit ribosomal RNA
Source: RNAcentral
UACAGAGGUCCCAAGCGUUGUUCGGAUUCACUGGGCGUAAAGGGUGCGUAGGUGGUGAGGUAAGUCGGAUGUGAAAUCUCCGAGCUCAACUCGGAAAUGGCAUUGGAAACUACCUUGCUCGAGGGUUGGAGGGGGGACUGGAAUGCUUGGUGUAGCAGUGAAAUGCGUAGAUAUCAAGCGGAACACCAGUGGCGAAGGCGAGUCCCUGGACAACUGCUGACACUGAGGCAAGAAAGCUAGGGGAGCAAACAGG